GCUUCACUUGUUACCUCCAACAUCUAAGGAGGGAAGUCUUCAAAGAUUAGCACAUCAGAUGCUGCUCACCACCUAAUGAAAUUCAUCAAGGUGGGAGGUAGCACGGAGGCUUUUCUUAAGGCUGGCCCCACUCAGCCAUUCGUCCUGUGUGUUGGAGAAAGAAAGAACAUCAUCCAGAGUUUCUACAUUGUCCUAGAUCAAAAGGCAUUGAACAACUUCUACACAUUCAUCCAGACCACCGUGUAUGGCAUUGAUGUUGGCAGUGUGAAGGAGAGUCCUCGGGUCAGGGAAACAAGAGGAAGUCUUCAUUGUACAGUUUAAAGAUAUCCACUAUUCAGCACUUUGACUGGAAAUGUUCAUCUGUUACAUUUGCAAGAUACACCACACAAGUUGCUCAGUGUUAUUUAGACAUUUGAAGUUCCAGCAUGGUUUGUACCCAGGAAGGUUUUUACGUUUGACCUGUGGAGAGCCUGGAUGUUCAUUCAUCUUUCGCACGUACUCUGAUUACAAGCGGCACUUACUCCGAGCACAUGGAGACUGUCUUCACUCUGAGGUCAUCAAUACUUUUGAGCCUGUACCUAACGAUGGAACCUCUGUUUCACAGCCUGUAAAUGUGGCUCAUCCCAUGACAAUUACUACACAGGUUCCAGUUGAAAAAAGGCAAAUACUGAACAUGUGCAGCUCUGUUAUUGCUCAGGUACAAUCAUUAGGAGUUCCUGAAAGUACUGUGCAGUGUUUAGUUGUUUCAUUGGAGGAACUGGUUAAUGACAUCCAUGCGCAUGCAAAACAAUCUGUUGUUGACUGUUUGUCAACUGAUACCAUGAUACAGACAUCAAGUUGGGAUGUAUGUUUGUUCUGGUGUUGAAAAUGAGAUGCCUUUGUUCAGUAAGAUUGUCAAUAUAAUUAUUAGAUUGCAAUGCUUAUCUUCUAACUUGUAAGGCUUCAACAGUAUAUUUCAAUGAGCACUUAAAUGCAUUUGUUAUUGAGGAUGGAUUAGAUGUCUUUGCACUGAUCUCUGUAGAUGAUCUAGUGUACUAUAGACCUUAUGAUAGGCAAUUUUCAAAUGGCACUGAUGACAAAAUGUACAUUGUCCCAUACUGUAAUUUUGUAUAACUUGUUUAUUUGUGGUGUAUCAGAAUACAAAGUGUUUUGGAACGUUAAUGUCUUGUAUUUCUUUGUAAUGGGUAGAUGUUAGGGGUUACUUGUAGCAGUAGAGAUAUCAG
This is a long non-coding RNA of Oreochromis aureus, 1223 nucleotides long. NCBI's taxonomy places the organism in Eukaryota, Metazoa, Chordata, Actinopteri, Cichliformes, Cichlidae. The record is from Ensembl.